Molecule: ribosomal RNA, 641 nt
Filed under: Geodermatophilus sp. I12A-02620
Lineage: Bacteria; Bacillati; Actinomycetota; Actinomycetes; Geodermatophilales; Geodermatophilaceae
Description: bacterial SSU rRNA
Rfam family: Bacterial small subunit ribosomal RNA
Source: RNAcentral
CGAACGGGUGAGUAACACGUGGGCAACCUGCCCCCGGCUCUGGGAUAACUCCAAGAAAUUGGGGCUAAUACCGGAUGUUCACCGCUUCCCGCAUGGGUGGUGGUGGAAAGGGUUUCCGGCUGGGGAUGGGCCCGCGGCCUAUCAGCUUGUUGGUGGGGUAGUGGCCUACCAAGGCGACGACGGGUAGCCGGCCUGAGAGGGUGACCGGCCACACUGGGACUGAGACACGGCCCAGACUCCUACGGGAGGCAGCAGUGGGGAAUAUUGCGCAAUGGGCGGAAGCCUGACGCAGCGACGCCGCGUGGGGGAUGACGGCCUUCGGGUUGUAAACCUCUUUCAGCAGGGACGAAGCGCAAGUGACGGUACCUGCAGAAGAAGCACCGGCCAACUACGUGCCAGCAGCCGCGGUAAUACGUAGGGUGCAAGCGUUGUCCGGAAUUAUUGGGCGUAAAGAGCUCGUAGGCGGUUCGUCGCGUCGGCUGUGAAAACCCGGAGCUCAACUCCGGGCCUGCAGUCGAUACGGGCGGACUUGAGUUCGGCAGGGGAGACUGGAAUUCCUGGUGUAGCGGUGAAAUGCGCAGAUAUCAGGAGGAACACCGGUGGCGAAGGCGGGUCUCUGGGCCGAAACUGACGCUGAGGAG